CCCUUAGAUGUCCGGGGCUGCACGCGCGCUACACUGAAGGAAUCAGCGUGCUAAAACCAUUGUAGAAAGGCAUUGGUAAACCCAUUAAAAUCCUACGUGAUUGGGAUCGGGAAUUGCAAUUAUUUCCCUUGAACGAGGAAUUCCCAGUAAGUGUGGGUCAUAAGCUCGCGUUGAUUACGUCCCUGCCCUUUGUACACACCGCCCGUCGCUGCCCGGGACUGAGCCGUUUCGAGAAAAGCGGGGACUGCUGCUGUCGGGGCUUUCGGGCCUUGGCUUCGGUGGAAACCGCUUUAAUCGCAGUGGCUUGAACCGGGCAAAAGUCGUAACA
Molecule: ribosomal RNA, 328 nt
Filed under: uncultured eukaryote
Lineage: Eukaryota
Description: partial 18S ribosomal RNA
Rfam family: Eukaryotic small subunit ribosomal RNA
Source: RNAcentral